This 706-nucleotide ribosomal RNA is filed under the name uncultured Enterococcus sp. RNAcentral describes it as "bacterial SSU rRNA". It matches the Rfam family "Bacterial small subunit ribosomal RNA", at positions 65 to 742 of the family's 1533-position model. Lineage: Bacteria; Bacillati; Bacillota; Bacilli; Lactobacillales; Enterococcaceae. The record is from RNAcentral.
AACGCUUCUUUCCUCCCGAGUGCUUGCACUCAAUUGGAAAGAGGAGUGGCGGACGGGUGAGUAACACGUGGGUAACCUACCCAUCAGAGGGGGAUAACACUUGGAAACAGGUGCUAAUACCGCAUAACAGUUUAUGCCGCAUGGCAUAAGAGUGAAAGGCGCUUUCGGGUGUCGCUGAUGGAUGGACCCGCGGUGCAUUAGCUAGUUGGUGAGGUAACGGCUCACCAAGGCCACGAUGCAUAGCCGACCUGAGAGGGUGAUCGGCCACACUGGGACUGAGACACGGCCCAGACUCCUACGGGAGGCAGCAGUAGGGAAUCUUCGGCAAUGGACGAAAGUCUGACCGAGCAACGCCGCGUGAGUGAAGAAGGUUUUCGGAUCGUAAAACUCUGUUGUUAGAGAAGAACAAGGACGUUAGUAACUGAACGUCCCCUGACGGUAUCUAACCAGAAAGCCACGGCUAACUACGUGCCAGCAGCCGCGGUAAUACGUAGGUGGCAAGCGUUGUCCGGAUUUAUUGGGCGUAAAGCGAGCGCAGGCGGUUUCUUAAGUCUGAUGUGAAAGCCCCCGGCUCAACCGGGGAGGGUCAUUGGAAACUGGGAGACUUGAGUGCAGAAGAGGAGAGUGGAAUUCCAUGUGUAGCGGUGAAAUGCGUAGAUAUAUGGAGGAACACCAGUGGCGAAGGCGGCUCUCUGGCCUGUAACUG